RNAcentral lists this ribosomal RNA (370 nucleotides) under uncultured organism. RNAcentral describes it as "bacterial SSU rRNA". It matches the Rfam family "Bacterial small subunit ribosomal RNA", at positions 526 to 896 of the family's 1533-position model. The record is from RNAcentral.
CGUAGGGUGCAAGCGUUAAUCGGAAUUACUGGGCGUAAAGCGUGCGCAGGCGGUUAUAUAAGUCAGAUGUGAAAUCCCCGGGCUCAACCUGGGAACUGCAUUUGAGACUGUAUGGCUAGAGUGUGUCAGAGGGGGGUAGAAUUCCACGUGUAGCAGUGAAAUGCGUAGAUAUGUGGAGGAAUACCGAUGGCGAAGGCAGCCCCCUGGGAUAACACUGACGCUCAUGCACGAAAGCGUGGGGAGCAAACAGGAUUAGAUACCCUGGUAGUCCACGCCCUAAACGAUGUCUACUAGUUGUCGGGACUUAAUUGUCUUGGUAACGCAGCUAACGCGUGAAGUAGACCGCCUGGGGAGUACGGUCGCAAGGUUG